UACGUAGGUGGCAAGCGUUGUCCGGAAUUAUUGGGCGUAAAGCGCGCGCAGGUGGUUUAAUAAGUCUGAUGUGAAAGCCCACGGCUCAACCGUGGAAUGGCAUUGGAAACUGGGUCACUUGAGUGCAGAAGAGGAAAGCGGAAUUCCAUGUGUAGCGGUGAAAUGCGUAGAUAUAUGGAGGAACACCAGUGGCGAAGGCGGCUUUCUGGUCUGUAACUGACGCUGAGGCUCGAAAGCGUGGGUAGCAAACAGG
This 253-nucleotide ribosomal RNA is filed under the name uncultured bacterium. RNAcentral describes it as "partial 16S ribosomal RNA". It matches the Rfam family "Bacterial small subunit ribosomal RNA", at positions 524 to 776 of the family's 1533-position model. The record is from RNAcentral.